UCAGGACGAACGCUGGCGGCGUGCUUAACACAUGCAAGUCGAACGAUGAAGCCUUUCGGGGUGGAUUAGUGGCGAACGGGUGAGUAACACGUGGGCAAUCUGCCCUUCACUCUGGGACAAGCCCUGGAAACGGGGUCUAAUACCGGAUAACACUCCUGCCUGCAUGGGCGGGGGUUAAAAGCUCCGGCGGUGAAGGAUGAGCCCGCGGCCUAUCAGCUUGUUGGUGGGGUAAUGGCCUACCAAGGCGACGACGGGUAGCCGGCCUGAGAGGGCGACCGGCCACACUGGGACUGAGACACGGCCCAGACUCCUACGGGAGGCAGCAGUGGGGAAUAUUGCACAAUGGGCGAAAGCCUGAUGCAGCGACGCCGCGUGAGGGAUGACGGCCUUCGGGUUGUAAACCUCUUUCAGCAGGGAAGAAGCGAGAGUGACGGUACCUGCAGAAGAAGCGCCGGCUAACUACGUGCCAGCAGCCGCGGUAAUACGUAGGGCGCAAGCGUUGUCCGGAAUUAUUGGGCGUAAAGAGCUCGUAGGCGGCUUGUCACGUCGGAUGUGAAAGCCCGGGGCUUAACCCCGGGUC
This 580-nucleotide ribosomal RNA is filed under the name Streptomyces sp. ACM12. RNAcentral's name for it is "bacterial SSU rRNA". It matches the Rfam family "Bacterial small subunit ribosomal RNA", at positions 24 to 621 of the family's 1533-position model. The record is from RNAcentral. Lineage: Bacteria; Bacillati; Actinomycetota; Actinomycetes; Kitasatosporales; Streptomycetaceae. RNAcentral also lists the same sequence under 1 other name.